UGGGGGAUAUUGCGCAAUGGGGGCAACCCUGACGCAGCAACGCCGCGUGAAGGAUGAAGGUUUUCGGAUUGUAAACUUCUUUUAUUAAGGACGAAACUUGACGGUACUUAAUGAAUAAGCUCCGGCUAACUACGUGCCAGCAGCCGCGGUAAUACGUAGGGAGCAAGCGUUGUCCGGAUUUACUGGGUGUAAAGGGUGCGUAGGCGGCUUUGCAAGUCAGAUGUGAAAUCUAUGGGCUCAACCCAUAAACUGCAUUUGAAACUGUAGAGCUUGAGUGAAGUAGAGGCAGGCGGAAUUCCCCGUGUAGCGGUGAAAUGCGUAGAGAUGGGGAGGAACACCAGUGGCGAAGGCGGCCUGCUAGGCUUUAACUGACGCUGAGGCACGAAAGCGUGGGUAGCAAACAGGAUUAGAUACCCUGGUAGUCCACGCUGUAAACGAUGAUUACUAGGUGUGGGGGGUCUGACCCCUUCCGUGCCGGAGUUAACACAAUAAGUAAUCCACCUGGGGAGUACGGCCGCAAGGUUGAAACUCAAAGGAAUUGACGGGGGCCCGCACAAGCAGUGGAGUAUGUGGUUUAAUUCGAAGCAACGCGAAGAACCUUACCAGGUCUUGACAUCCAACUAACGAAGUAGAGAUACAUUAGGUGCCCUUCGGGGAAAGUUGAGACAGGUGGUGCAUGGUUGUCGUCAGCUCGUGUCGUGAGAUGUUGGGUUAAGUCCCGCAACGAGCGCAACCCUUGCUAUUAGUUGCUACGCAAGAGCACUCUAAUAGGACUGCCGUUGACAAAACGGAGGAAGGUGGGGACGACGUCAAAUCAUCAUGCCCCUUAUGACCUGGGCUACACACGUACUACAAUGGAUGUUAACAGAGGGAAGCAAGACAGCGAUGUGGAGCAAACCCCUAAAAACAUUCUCAGUUCAGAUUGCAGGCUGCAACCCGCCUGCAUGAAGAUGGAAUUGCUAGUAAUCGCGGAUCAGCAUGCCGCGGUGAAUACGUUCCC
Molecule: ribosomal RNA, 1000 nt
Filed under: uncultured bacterium
Lineage: Bacteria
Also listed under: 1 other name
Description: bacterial SSU rRNA
Rfam family: Bacterial small subunit ribosomal RNA
Source: RNAcentral